UAGGGAAUCUUCGGCAAUGGGGGGAACCCUGACCGAGCAACGCCGCGUGAGUGAAGAAGGUUUUCGGAUCGUAAAGCUCUGUUGUUAAGGAAGAACGAGUGUGAGAAUGGAAAGUUCAUACUGUGACGGUACUUAACCAGAAAGGGACGGCUAACUACGUGCCAGCAGCCGCGGUAAUACGUAGGUCCCGAGCGUUGUCCGGAUUUAUUGGGCGUAAAGCGAGCGCAGGCGGUUAGAUAAGUCUGAAGUUAAAGGCAGUGGCUCAACCAUUGUAGGCUUUGGAAACUGUUUAACUUGAGUGCAGAAAGGGAGAGUGGAAUUCCAUGUGUAGCGGUGAAAUGCGUAGCUAUAUGGAGGAACACCGGUGGCGAAAGCGGCACUCUGGUCUGUAACUGACGCUGAGGCUCGAAAGCGUGGGGAGCGAACAGG
This 429-nucleotide ribosomal RNA is filed under the name Bacteroidota bacterium. RNAcentral describes it as "Bacteroidetes bacterium partial 16S ribosomal RNA". It matches the Rfam family "Bacterial small subunit ribosomal RNA", at positions 355 to 776 of the family's 1533-position model. The record is from RNAcentral. Lineage: Bacteria; Pseudomonadati; Bacteroidota.